UUCCGGUUGAUCCUGCCGGACCUGACUGCUAUCGGAUUGAUACUAAGCCAUGCGAGUCUUUGUAGCAAUACAAGGCAGACGGCUCAGUAACACGUAGUCAAUCUACCCUAUAGACGGGGAUAACCUCGGGAAACUGAGAAUAAUACCCGAUAGGUCAUUAUGCCUGGAAUGGUUUAUGAUUAAGAUGAUUUUUCGCUGUAGGAUGGGACUGCGGUCUAUCAGCUUGUUGGUGAGGUAAUGGCCCACCAAGGCUAUUACAGAUACGGGCUCUGAGAGGAGAGGCCCGGAGAUGGGUACUGAGACACGGACCCAGGCCCUAUGGGGCGCAGCAGGCGAGAAAACUUUGCAAUGUGCGAAAGCACGACAAGGUUAAUCCGAGUGUUUUCUGUUUAAGAAAUCUUUUGUCAGUCCUAGAAACACUAACGAAUAAGGGGUGGGCAAGUUCUGGUGUCAGCCGCCGCGGUAAAACCAGCACCUCAAGUGGUCAGGAUGAUUAUUGGGCCUAAAGCAUCCGUAGCCUGCUUUGUAAGUUUUCGGUUAAAUCCAUAUGCUCAACAUAUGGGCUGCCGGGAAUACUGCACAGCUAGGGAGUGGGAGAGGUAGACGGUACUCGGUAGGAAGGGGUAAAAUCCUUUGAUCUAUUGAUGACCACCUGUGGCGAAGGCGGUCUACCAGAACACGUCCGACGGUGAGGGAUGAAAGCUGGGGGAGCAAACCGGAUUAGAUACCCGGGUAGCCCCAGCUGUAAACUAUGCAAACUCGGUGAUGCGUUGGCUUGUAGCUAGCGCAGUGCCGCAGGGAAGCCGUUAAGUUUGCCGCCUGGGAAGUACGUGCGCAAGUAUGAAACUUAAAGGAAUUGGCGGGGGAGCACCACAAGGGGUGAAGCCUGCGGUUCAAUUGGAGUCAACGCCAGAAAUCUUACCCGGAGAGACAGCAGAAUGAAGGUCAAGCUGAAGACUUUACCAGACAAGCUGAGAGGUGGUGCAUGGCCGUCGCCAGCUCGUGCCGUGAGGUGUCCUGUUAAGUCAGGCAACGAGCGAGACCCA
Molecule: ribosomal RNA, 1046 nt
Filed under: uncultured crenarchaeote
Lineage: Archaea; Thermoproteati; Thermoproteota
Description: bacterial SSU rRNA
Rfam family: Archaeal small subunit ribosomal RNA
Source: RNAcentral